CCUACGGGAGGCAGCAGUGAGGAAUAUUGGUCAAUGGACGAGAGUCUGAACCAGCCAAGUAGCGUGAAGGAUGACUGCCCUAUGGGUUGUAAACUUCUUUUAUAAGGGAAUAAAACGAGGCACGUGUGCCUUUUUGCAUUUACUUUAUGAAUAAGGAUCGCCUAACUCCGUGCCAUCAGCCGCGGUAAUACGGCGGGUCCGAUCGUUAUCCGGAUUUAUUGGGUUUAAAGGGAGCGUAGGUGGUUUGUUAAGUCAGUUGUGAAAGUUUGCGGCUCAACCGUAAAAUUGCAAUUGAUACUGGCAGUCUUGAGUACAGUUGAGGUAGGCGGAAUUCGUGGUGUAGCGGUGAAAUGCUUAGAGAUCACGAAGAACCCCGAUUGCGAAGGCAGCUUACUAAACUGUGACUGACAUUGAUGCUCGAAAGUGUGGGUAUCAAACAGGAUUAGAUACCCGAGUAGUC
Molecule: ribosomal RNA, 460 nt
Filed under: uncultured bacterium
Lineage: Bacteria
Description: partial 16S ribosomal RNA
Rfam family: Bacterial small subunit ribosomal RNA
Source: RNAcentral